AACCCACUAUGAGAACACCUUAUUAAAAUAUCCUUAAAUCUCUCUCAUGCAUCAUACAGUGUCUCAACCUCAAAUUGAGCAAAAGAAGAGAUAUCAUUCCUCACCUU
Non-coding RNA from Gossypium raimondii (Peruvian cotton), 107 nucleotides. Lineage: Eukaryota; Viridiplantae; Streptophyta; Magnoliopsida; Malvales; Malvaceae. The record is from Rfam.